Macadamia integrifolia is the source of this 1358-nucleotide RNA transcript. It is a transcript of the gene named outer envelope pore protein 16-4, chloroplastic, with no coding region annotated. The transcript is spliced from 7 exons. The record is from RefSeq and is a predicted model, not a curated record. NCBI's taxonomy places the organism in Eukaryota, Viridiplantae, Streptophyta, Magnoliopsida, Proteales, Proteaceae.
AGAAUGUAUUCCAAGAAUGCAAACCAAACACAGCCUGAAUAUGAUCUGAAGCUUCUCUUCACCCGUCUCCGCUGCCGACCUUUUUGCUCGUUUUGGCUUAAACCAUCGUGACUUCAUGUAUUGGAACAUUACCCCUCCCUCUUUUGCUGCUCCUGUGUUGCAUUUAAGACUUGUAAUUUGGGCAAAAAGGGUCGAGUUGCUCUAGAGAAGACGAAGCAUGGAGGAAGAAUUCGAAGACGACAUACCUUGUUCUUCCAUUGCUGUUGAUUCCAUCACUCGUUUCGCAACGGCAGGAACCAUCUGGGGUUUGUGUAUAGGUCCAUACGAUGGUCGGAAGAGAGGUCUUGCUGGCGUUGCUCGUGCAUCUUUUGUGGUAAAGUCAGCUGGCAGAUAUGGCUUACAAUCUGGACUUUUUGCCGGAGUCUUUUCUAUUACACGGUGUGGGAUUCAACGAUACCGCAAACGGAAGGAUUGGGUGAAUGCGUCAAUUGCGGGUGGCAUUGCUGGGGCAGCUUUUGCUGCAAGGACCCGAAGCUGGAUUCAAGUCUUUGGGAUGGCAGCUUUAGUGUCCACCAUAUGUUCCGCUGCUGACUACUCAAAAACAAGCUAACUCAUCUCUAGCUGGGUGCCUAAGGUGGGAUGAAUGUUCCCCAUGCAUCUCCUUCCCCUUAUUUCAAUUGUUCAUCCCCGAUCUGCUGUUCUUAACUCUUAAGUUUAAGAAGUUUUGGUCGUUGGACAUCGGGUGUUGUUCUGAGCUAUUUAUUAUGGUGCCCAAGUUCAACAUCUCCCAACUCUGCCACCUCAAGACAGCGUGUACUAUCUAAACUAAGUUAUGAAAUCUUUCGAAUUGUUAAAGGGGAAGUGACCCGGGUCAGAAUAAUGAAGAUGGGUUCAUUUUCCGUUUUGUUUAAUUGAGAACUGUAAAAUUUUGAAGACUGCUGAGAUUCUCGAAUACAAAGUGGGUCACAUGGUUGAGAUGCAUUGCAGAAGUUGGCAUUUAGCCGAUUCAAAAGUCUGUGCGUGUAUGUUUGGUUAGGCAUUGGUUUGAAAUUAGCCUUGCAAUUUGCUAGGUAACAGCCUUGAAUUCAUCACAGCAGCCUCUACCAGAAUUCCGAGCUAUUGUGCAGGAUAUUAAUGUGCUUACUUCUCCACUUUCAUAUUGUGUUGAAGCCAAGAGACUUUCAGAGAGAUGGCAUCAUUAGUAUUGAAUUUACUUGGAUAGUUCCUCUGAUGGCGCAAUUUUUGUCUGAGUGGAAGACGGGCAUAAUCUGGUCCCCGCAUUAUUCCAUUUACCGAUCUUGUUUUUUUCUCCAACUGUGUUGAAUUCACAUUAGUCUCAGACGUGUGGCCUUGUCCAA